AGAAUCAACGCUGGCGGCGUGCCUAACACAUGCAAGUCGAACGAGAAAGUGGAGCAAUCCAUGAGUACAGUGGCGCACGGGUGAGUAACACGUGACUAACCUACCCUCGAGUGGGGAAUAACCUCGGGAAACCGGGGCUAAUACCGCAUAACAUCCACGGAUCAAAUGCGUAAGCAGCUUGAGGAGGGGGUCGCGGCUGAUUAGCUAGUUGGCGGGGUAAUGGCCCACCAAGGCAGUGAUCAGUAGCCGGCCUGAGAGGGCGCACGGCCACACUGGAACUGAAACACGGUCCAGACUCCUACGGGAGGCAGCAGUGGGGAAUUUUGCGCAAUGGGGGAAACCCUGACGCAGCAACGCCGCGUGGAGGAUUAAGCCCCUUGGGGUGUAAACUCCUUUCGAUCGGGACGAUUAUGACGGUACCGGAAGAAGAAGCACCGGCUAACUCUGUGCCAGCAGCCGC
This 460-nucleotide ribosomal RNA is filed under the name uncultured bacterium. RNAcentral describes it as "SSU rRNA". It matches the Rfam family "Bacterial small subunit ribosomal RNA", at positions 26 to 518 of the family's 1533-position model. The record is from RNAcentral.